RNAcentral lists this ribosomal RNA (482 nucleotides) under uncultured bacterium. RNAcentral's name for it is "partial 16S ribosomal RNA". It matches the Rfam family "Bacterial small subunit ribosomal RNA", at positions 29 to 505 of the family's 1533-position model. The record is from RNAcentral.
AUUGAACGCUGGCGGCAUGCUUUACACAUGCAAGUCGAACGGCAGCGCGGGCUUCGGCCUGGCGGCGAGUGGCGAACGGGUGAGUAAUGCAUCGGAACGUGCCCAGUAGUGGGGGAUAGCCCGGCGAAAGCCGGAUUAAUACCGCAUACGACCUGAGGGUGAAAGCGGGGGACCGAAAGGCCUCGCGCUAUUGGAGCGGCCGAUGUCGGAUUAGCUAGUUGGUGGGGUAAAGGCUUACAAAGGCGACGAUCCGUAGCUGGUCUGAGAGGACGACCAGCCACACUGGGACUGAGACACGGCCCAGACUCCUACGGGAGGCAGCAGUGGGAAAUUGGGGAAAAGGGGGGCAACCCGGAUCAAGCCAUGCCGCGUGCGGAAAGAAGGCCGUCGGGUUGAAAACCGCUUUUGUUCGGGAAAAAACCCUCUGGGCUAAUACCCCGGGGGGAGGACGGAACCGGAAGAAGAAGCACCGGCAAACGAUG